GCAAUCUGCCCUUCACUCUGGGACAAGCCCUGGAAACGGGGUCUAAUACCGGAUAACACCUGCCCGGGCAUCCGGGUGGGUUAAAAGCUCCGGCGGUGAAGGAUGAGCCCGCGGCCUAUCAGCUUGUUGGUGAGGUAGUGGCUCACCAAGGCGACGACGGGUAGCCGGCCUGAGAGGGCGACCGGCCACACUGGGACUGAGACACGGCCCAGACUCCUACGGGAGGCAGCAGUGGGGAAUAUUGCACAAUGGGCGAAAGCCUGAUGCAGCGACGCCGCGUGAGGGAUGACGGCCUUCGGGUUGUAAACCUCUUUCAGCAGGGAAGAAGCGAAAGUGACGGUACCUGCAGAAGAAGCGCCGGCUAACUACGUGCCAGCAGCCGCGGUAAUACGUAGGGCGCAAGCGUUGUCCGGAAUUAUUGGGCGUAAAGAGCUCGUAGGCGGCUUGUCACGUCGGGUGUGAAAGCCCGGGGCUUAACCCCGGGUCUGCAUUCGAUACGGGCUAGCUAGAGUGUGGUAGGGGAGAUCGGAAUUCCUGGUGUAGCGGUGAAAUGCGCAGAUAUCAGGAGGAACACCGGUGGCGAAGGCGGAUCUCUGGGCCAUUACUGACGCUGAGGAGCGAAAGCGUGGGGAGCGAACAGGAUUAGAUACCCUGGUAGUCCACGCCGUAAAC
This 672-nucleotide ribosomal RNA is filed under the name Streptomyces sp. me9. Its description in RNAcentral is "bacterial SSU rRNA". It matches the Rfam family "Bacterial small subunit ribosomal RNA", at positions 121 to 807 of the family's 1533-position model. Lineage: Bacteria; Bacillati; Actinomycetota; Actinomycetes; Kitasatosporales; Streptomycetaceae. The record is from RNAcentral.